AAACCUGACUUGUGAUCCUGGAGUUGGAUAGCUUUGCGGUUGAAGUUCAAUUGCCAAUUGUACUUGAUUGAUGAACCCUCGAAACUUUCAUCUCGUACCAUCAAAUUUCUCAGGUAAGGCAAUUCUUGGUUCUCUAGUGCUUAUAGGGUGUUGUACAAUUAGAGAAGGAACGUGAUUUGUUGUAGAUGUUGAAGCAGCUCCAAUCAUCUCUAUAUCUCCACUCUCUGCUAUUCUUGUUCUUUCCUGUGUUGGUGAAUUGAG
Molecule: long non-coding RNA, 261 nt
Filed under: Physcomitrium patens
Lineage: Eukaryota; Viridiplantae; Streptophyta; Bryopsida; Funariales; Funariaceae
Description: long non-coding RNA (PPAT_LNC000513)
Source: RNAcentral